CGCGUGGGAACGUACCUUUUGCUACGGAAUAACUCAGGGAAACUUGUGCUAAUACCGUAUGUGCCCUUCGGGGGAAAGAUUUAUCGGCAAAGGAUCUGCCCGCGUUGGAUUAGCUAGUUGGUGAGGUAAAGGCUCACCAAGGCGACGAUCCAUAGCUGGUCUGAGAGGAUGAUCAGCCACACUGGGACUGAGACACGGCCCAGACUCCUACGGGAGGCAGCAGUGGGGAAUAUUGGACAAUGGGCGCAAGCCUGAUCCAGCCAUGCCGCGUGAGUGAUGAAGGCCCUAGGGUUGUAAAGCUCUUUCACCGGUGAAGAUAAUGACGGUAACCGGAGAAGAAGCCCCGGCUAACUUCGUG
This 358-nucleotide ribosomal RNA is filed under the name uncultured Alphaproteobacteria bacterium. RNAcentral describes it as "bacterial SSU rRNA". It matches the Rfam family "Bacterial small subunit ribosomal RNA", at positions 114 to 507 of the family's 1533-position model. Lineage: Bacteria; Pseudomonadati; Pseudomonadota; Alphaproteobacteria. The record is from RNAcentral.